UACGUAGGGUGCAAGCGUUGUCCGGAAUUAUUGGGCGUAAAGAGCUCGUAGGCGGUCUGUCGCGUCGAAUGUGAAAACCCGGGGCUCAACCCCGGGCCUGCAUUCGAUACGGGCAGACUAGAGUUCGGUAGGGGAGUCUGGAAUUCCUGGUGUAGCGGUGAAAUGCGCAGAUAUCAGGAGGAACACCAAUGGCGAAGGCAGCUCGCUGGGACGGUACUGACGCUGAGGCGCGAAAGCGUGGGGAGCAAACAGG
RNAcentral lists this ribosomal RNA (253 nucleotides) under uncultured bacterium. Its description in RNAcentral is "partial 16S ribosomal RNA". It matches the Rfam family "Bacterial small subunit ribosomal RNA", at positions 524 to 776 of the family's 1533-position model. The record is from RNAcentral.